GUGGGGGAUAUUGCACAAUGGGGGAAACCCUGAUGCAGCAACGCCGCGUGAGGGAAGACGGUUUUCGGAUUGUAAACCUCUGUCCUUAGUGACGAUAAUGACGGUAGCUAAGGAGGAAGCCACGGCUAACUACGUGCCAGCAGCCGCGGUAAUACGUAGGUGGCAAGCGUUGUCCGGAAUUACUGGGUGUAAAGGGAGCGUAGGCGGGAAGGCAAGUCAGAUGUGAAAUCCACAGGCUUAACCUGUGGCGUGCAUUUGAAACUGUUUUUCUUGAGUGAAGUAGAGGCAGGCGGAAUUCCGAGUGUAGCGGUGAAAUGCGUAGAUAUUCGGAGGAACACCAGUGGCGAAGGCGGCCUGCUGGGCUUUUACUGACGCUGAGGCUCGAAAGCAUGGGUAGCAAACAGGAUUAGAAACCCCUGUAGUCC
This 425-nucleotide ribosomal RNA is filed under the name uncultured bacterium. RNAcentral describes it as "bacterial SSU rRNA". It matches the Rfam family "Bacterial small subunit ribosomal RNA", at positions 354 to 796 of the family's 1533-position model. The record is from RNAcentral.